GGGCCAUUAGCUCAGUUGGCUAGAGUGCUUGCAUGGCAUGCAAGAGGUCAAGGGUUCGAGUCCCUUAUGGUCCA
This 74-nucleotide transfer RNA is filed under the name Candidatus Falkowiibacteriota bacterium. RNAcentral's name for it is "tRNA-Ala". It matches the Rfam family "tRNA". From Rfam's summary of the family: Transfer RNA (tRNA) molecules are approximately 80 nucleotides in length. Lineage: Bacteria; Candidatus Falkowiibacteriota. The record is from RNAcentral.